Long non-coding RNA from Neogale vison (American mink), 246 nucleotides. RefSeq lists it as uncharacterized. NCBI's taxonomy places the organism in Eukaryota, Metazoa, Chordata, Mammalia, Carnivora, Mustelidae. The transcript has 5 exons. The record is from RefSeq and is a predicted model, not a curated record.
CUGGCCAUCAAUUCUGCACAAAAGUCCAGUUUGAAUCCUACUGCUUUUAUGAAACAUUCUCUGAUUAGAACAGAUUUUCUGGACUUUUCAACACUGUGAACCACUACGCACUUUUUGGAUAUGUCAAUGUGGGGAUGUCAACGUACUUUACAUGGCAUCACCCCCACUCCAAGAAUUUCCUUAAGGUGAACUGCUGUUACUUUCUGGAAGGUGCAGCCUAGGAACCCAUGUUGAAUUAUAUAAUUU